GUCUGGGUAGUUCAGUUGGUUAGAGCAUGGUGCUGAUAAUGCCAAGGUUGCAGGUUCGAUUCCUGUAUGGGACA
Molecule: non-coding RNA, 74 nt
Organism: Podarcis lilfordi (Lilford's wall lizard)
Lineage: Eukaryota; Metazoa; Chordata; Lepidosauria; Squamata; Lacertidae
Source: the annotation of a GenBank genome assembly